Molecule: ribosomal RNA, 442 nt
Filed under: uncultured bacterium
Lineage: Bacteria
Description: bacterial SSU rRNA
Rfam family: Bacterial small subunit ribosomal RNA
Source: RNAcentral
AACGCGAAGAACCUUACCAGGUCUUGACAUCCCCAUGAAAGCAUCAGAGAUGAUGGCGCUCUCUUCGGAGCAUGGGAGACAGGUGGUGCAUGGUUGUCGUCAGCUCGUGUCGUGAGAUGUUGGGUUAAGUCCCGCAACGAGCGCAACCCUUGAUGCUAGUUGCCAGCAUGUAAAGAUGGGCACUCUAGGAUGACUGCCGGUGACAAACCGGAGGAAGGUGGGGAUGACGUCAAAUCAUCAUGCCCCUUAUGACCUGGGCUACACACGUACUACAAUGGCCGGUACAACGGGAAGCGAAGGAGCGAUCUGGAGCGAAUCCUUAGAAGCCGGUCUCAGUUCGGAUUGCAGGCUGCAACUCGCCUGCAUGAAGUCGGAAUUGCUAGUAAUCGCGGAUCAGCAUGCCGCGGUGAAUACGUUCCCGGGCCUUGUACACACCGCGAGC